Molecule: small RNA, 117 nt
Filed under: Macaca fascicularis (crab-eating macaque)
Lineage: Eukaryota; Metazoa; Chordata; Mammalia; Primates; Cercopithecidae
Description: Metazoan signal recognition particle RNA (ENSMFAG00000059580.1)
Source: Rfam by way of RNAcentral
GCCGGGCGUGGUGGCUCACGCCUGUAAUCCUAGAACUUUGGGAGGCUGAGGCGGGUGGAUCACCUGAGGUCAGGAGUUCAAGACCAGCCUGGCCAACAUGGUGAAACCCCAUCUUUA